Triticum dicoccoides is the source of this 692-nucleotide long non-coding RNA. RefSeq lists it as uncharacterized. The record is from RefSeq and is a predicted model, not a curated record. NCBI's taxonomy places the organism in Eukaryota, Viridiplantae, Streptophyta, Magnoliopsida, Poales, Poaceae. The transcript has 3 exons.
CCCCUUCCGCCUUCGCCGCCGUGCUCCUCCUUCUCUCCUCUUCCUCCAGUAGCACAGCUCCACACCCCUGCUCCUCUUUAUCUCCUCGUCGUCAAGCAGACCGGCCACUUCAUCCUCCACUUCAACGAUGCGCCCGGGCCAGAUCGCAGGUGCGCCAUUCUGACAUUAGGGGAUCGAGCCCCCCAUCCUCAACUGCGAUUAGGGCUUUGGCGGGUUGGAAAUUGAUUGGAUCUACUGCCGAUGUAGCGCAGGUCCGGCCACCGAAAUCCACGCAUCAUUUCGAUCAAAACACAACGCCAUGUAUGUUGUGACAGGUCAACUCGUCGCUUCGUGUAAGCCUCUGUUGUACAUAUGUUUUGAGCCACAUGAUGCCAAACAUGCAUCAUUGGUUUCUCAAAUGCCUAGCACUGACCUUUGAACAUGAUGUCGGUGGCGUCAACCGAAGGCAGCAGAAGAAGUGGUAGAGACAUGAGCGGAGAUACCGACCGAGGCCCUCCCUGAAGACGUGUGUUUGAUGACAUAGUGUGUGAACUCGAGCUUCCGCAACCAUUAAACAGACCCAGAUAUCUCCAUGUUGUGGUUAAUAGCUGGCAGCAGCAUCCCUGUUGCUUGCUGCGAUCACAGUGGCGGCAAUUUUCAUUCGGUGAUACUUUGCCUAUGCAUUUCCUAUUGUGCCGCUGCAACCGAAGACA